Non-coding RNA from Ameiurus melas (black bullhead), 73 nucleotides. Lineage: Eukaryota; Metazoa; Chordata; Actinopteri; Siluriformes; Ictaluridae. The record is from the annotation of a GenBank genome assembly.
GGUACGGUGGCUUAGCGCUUAGCGCGUUUGCCUCGGACCUCCAGGGACGCGGGUUCGAAUCCCACCUCUACCC